UACGGAAGGCAGCAGUGGGGAAUCUUGCACAAUGCACGAAAGUGUGAUGCAGCAACGCCGCGUGCGGGAAGACGGCCUUCGGGUUGUAAACCGCUUUCAGUUGGGACGAAGGUUCACGAGUUAAUAGCUCGUUGGAUUGACGGUACCUUCACAAGAAGCCCCGGCUAACUACGUGCCAGCAGCCGCGGUAAUACGUAGGGGCAAGCGUUGUCCGGAAUCAUUGGGCGUAAAGCGCGUGUAGGCGGCUCGAUAAGUCUGCUGUGAAAGUCCAGGGCUCAACCCCUGGGAUGCCGGUGGAUACUGUCGAGCUCGAGUCCGGAAGAGGAGUGUGGAAUUCCUGGUGUAGCGGUGAAAUGCGCAGAUAUCAGGAGGAACACCAAUAGCGAAGGGCAGCACUCUGGUACGUGACUGACGCUGAGACGCGAAAGCGUGGGGAGGCAAAC
RNAcentral lists this ribosomal RNA (443 nucleotides) under uncultured bacterium. RNAcentral describes it as "bacterial SSU rRNA". It matches the Rfam family "Bacterial small subunit ribosomal RNA", at positions 340 to 774 of the family's 1533-position model. The record is from RNAcentral.